RNAcentral lists this ribosomal RNA (2787 nucleotides) under Escherichia coli. RNAcentral's name for it is "bacterial LSU rRNA". It matches the Rfam family "Bacterial large subunit ribosomal RNA". Lineage: Bacteria; Pseudomonadati; Pseudomonadota; Gammaproteobacteria; Enterobacterales; Enterobacteriaceae. The record is from RNAcentral.
AGCGUACACGGUGGAUGCCCUGGCAGUCAGAGGCGAUGAAGGACGUGCUAAUCUGCGAUAAGCGUCGGUAAGGUGAUAUGAACCGUUAUAACCGGCGAUUUCCGAAUGGGGAAACCCAGUGUGAUUCGUCACACUAUCAUUAACUGAAUCCAUAGGUUAAUGAGGCGAACCGGGGGAACUGAAACAUCUAAGUACCCCGAGGAAAAGAAAUCAACCGAGAUUCCCCCAGUAGCGGCGAGCGAACGGGGAGCAGCCCAGAGCCUGAAUCAGUGUGUGUGUUAGUGGAAGCGUCUGGAAAGGCGCGCGAUACAGGGUGACAGCCCCGUACACAAAAAUGCACAUACUGUGAGCUCGAUGAGUAGGGCGGGACACGUGGUAUCCUGUCUGAAUAUGGGGGGACCAUCCUCCAAGGCUAAAUACUCCUGACUGACCGAUAGUGAACCAGUACCGUGAGGGAAAGGCGAAAAGAACCCCGGCGAGGGGAGUGAAAAAGAACCUGAAACCGUGUACGUACAAGCAGUGGGAGCACGCUUAGGCGUGUGACUGCGUACCUUUUGUAUAAUGGGUCAGCGACUUAUAUUCUGUAGCAAGGUUAACCGAAUAGGGGAGCCGAAGGGAAACCGAGUCUUAACUGGGCGUUAAGUUGCAGGGUAUAGACCCGAAACCCGGUGAUCUAGCCAUGGGCAGGUUGAAGGUUGGGUAACACUAACUGGAGGACCGAACCGACUAAUGUUGAAAAAUUAGCGGAUGACUUGUGGCUGGGGGUGAAAGGCCAAUCAAACCGGGAGAUAGCUGGUUCUCCCCGAAAGCUAUUUAGGUAGCGCCUCGUGAAUUCAUCUCCGGGGGUAGAGCACUGUUUCGGCAAGGGGGUCAUCCCGACUUACCAACCCGAUGCAAACUGCGAAUACCGGAGAAUGUUAUCACGGGAGACACACGGCGGGUGCUAACGUCCGUCGUGAAGAGGGAAACAACCCAGACCGCCAGCUAAGGUCCCAAAGUCAUGGUUAAGUGGGAAACGAUGUGGGAAGGCCCAGACAGCCAGGAUGUUGGCUUAGAAGCAGCCAUCAUUUAAAGAAAGCGUAAUAGCUCACUGGUCGAGUCGGCCUGCGCGGAAGAUGUAACGGGGCUAAACCAUGCACCGAAGCUGCGGCAGCGACGCUUAUGCGUUGUUGGGUAGGGGAGCGUUCUGUAAGCCUGCGAAGGUGUGCUGUGAGGCAUGCUGGAGGUAUCAGAAGUGCGAAUGCUGACAUAAGUAACGAUAAAGCGGGUGAAAAGCCCGCUCGCCGGAAGACCAAGGGUUCCUGUCCAACGUUAAUCGGGGCAGGGUGAGUCGACCCCUAAGGCGAGGCCGAAAGGCGUAGUCGAUGGGAAACAGGUUAAUAUUCCUGUACUUGGUGUUACUGCGAAGGGGGGACGGAGAAGGCUAUGUUGGCCGGGCGACGGUUGUCCCGGUUUAAGCGUGUAGGCUGGUUUUCCAGGCAAAUCCGGAAAAUCAAGGCUGAGGCGUGAUGACGAGGCACUACGGUGCUGAAGCAACAAAUGCCCUGCUUCCAGGAAAAGCCUCUAAGCAUCAGGUAACAUCAAAUCGUACCCCAAACCGACACAGGUGGUCAGGUAGAGAAUACCAAGGCGCUUGAGAGAACUCGGGUGAAGGAACUAGGCAAAAUGGUGCCGUAACUUCGGGAGAAGGCACGCUGAUAUGUAGGUGAAGUCCCUCGCGGAUGGAGCUGAAAUCAGUCGAAGAUACCAGCUGGCUGCAACUGUUUAUUAAAAACACAGCACUGUGCAAACACGAAAGUGGACGUAUACGGUGUGACGCCUGCCCGGUGCCGGAAGGUUAAUUGAUGGGGUCAGCGCAAGCGAAGCUCUUGAUCGAAGCCCCGGUAAACGGCGGCCGUAACUAUAACGGUCCUAAGGUAGCGAAAUUCCUUGUCGGGUAAGUUCCGACCUGCACGAAUGGCGUAAUGAUGGCCAGGCUGUCUCCACCCGAGACUCAGUGAAAUUGAACUCGCUGUGAAGAUGCAGUGUACCCGCGGCAAGACGGAAAGACCCCGUGAACCUUUACUAUAGCUUGACACUGAACAUUGAGCCUUGAUGUGUAGGAUAGGUGGGAGGCUUUGAAGUGUGGACGCCAGUCUGCAUGGAGCCGACCUUGAAAUACCACCCUUUAAUGUUUGAUGUUCUAACGUUGACCCGUGAUCCGGGUUGCGGACAGUGUCUGGUGGGUAGUUUGACUGGGGCGGUCUCCUCCUAAAGAGUAACGGAGGAGCACGAAGGUUGGCUAAUCCUGGUCGGACAUCAGGAGGUUAGUGCAAUGGCAUAAGCCAGCUUGACUGCGAGCGUGACGGCGCGAGCAGGUGCGAAAGCAGGUCAUAGUGAUCCGGUGGUUCUGAAUGGAAGGGCCAUCGCUCAACGGAUAAAAGGUACUCCGGGGAUAACAGGCUGAUACCGCCCAAGAGUUCAUAUCGACGGCGGUGUUUGGCACCUCGAUGUCGGCUCAUCACAUCCUGGGGCUGAAGUAGGUCCCAAGGGUAUGGCUGUUCGCCAUUUAAAGUGGUACGCGAGCUGGGUUUAGAACGUCGUGAGACAGUUCGGUCCCUAUCUGCCGUGGGCGCUGGAGAACUGAGGGGGGCUGCUCCUAGUACGAGAGGACCGGAGUGGACGCAUCACUGGUGUUCGGGUUGUCAUGCCAAUGGCACUGCCCGGUAGCUAAAUGCGGAAGAGAUAAGUGCUGAAAGCAUCUAAGCACGAAACUUGCCCCGAGAUGAGUUCUCCCUGACUCCUUGA